RNAcentral lists this unclassified non-coding RNA (355 nucleotides) under uncultured Microcystis sp. RNAcentral describes it as "partial 16S-23S ribosomal RNA intergenic spacer". The record is from RNAcentral. Lineage: Bacteria; Bacillati; Cyanobacteriota; Cyanophyceae; Chroococcales; Microcystaceae.
AAGGGAGACAUAAUUCGGGUAUAAGGAGAAAAAAGAGUAGUAGAAACCAAGAAUCAAUCCCAAAUGGUAGGAAGGUGGUAUGUGGUUUUCAAAGUUUGUUGGGUGUUCACACACGACAAUAAUCAGCAACAAGGGUUAUUUCAUCAGGUGGUUGGACCGCCCCCAUGAUAAGGGUGAGGUCCGUGGUUGGACUGCAGGAUGCCCCACCUCCACAGGUGGCAACAACAGAGAACCGGGGAAUCCGCACCUUAUCUUAUACAUAUAUAAGAGAGAAUGCUGGCUCUGAGUAAAGAGUCCAGAGGAACCUUGAAAACUGCAUAGAGCUAGGUGAAAAAGCCAAAAAAGAAGACCGCAA